This 202-nucleotide ribosomal RNA is filed under the name uncultured bacterium. RNAcentral's name for it is "partial 16S ribosomal RNA". It matches the Rfam family "Bacterial small subunit ribosomal RNA", at positions 524 to 727 of the family's 1533-position model. The record is from RNAcentral.
UACGAAGGGGCUAGCGUUGCUCGGAAUCACUGGGCGUAAAGCGCACGUAGGCGGAUGCUAAGUCAGGGUGAAAUCCUGGAGCUCAACUCCAGAACUGCCUUUGAUACUGGUGAUCUUGAGUCCGGGAGAGGUGGAGUGGAACUGCGAGUGUAGAGGUGAAAUUCGUAGAUAUUCGCAAGAACACCAGUGGCGAAGGCGGCUC